This is a small nuclear RNA of Meriones unguiculatus (Mongolian gerbil), 107 nucleotides long. The record is from Ensembl. Lineage: Eukaryota; Metazoa; Chordata; Mammalia; Rodentia; Muridae.
GUGCUCACUUUGGCAACACAUAUACUAAAACUGGAACAAUACAGAAAAUACUACCAUGGCCCCUGUGUAAGGAGGACACAGAAAAUCAUGUAGCAUUUUACAUGUCU